RNAcentral lists this ribosomal RNA (429 nucleotides) under Gemmatimonadota bacterium. RNAcentral's name for it is "Gemmatimonadetes bacterium partial 16S ribosomal RNA". It matches the Rfam family "Bacterial small subunit ribosomal RNA", at positions 355 to 776 of the family's 1533-position model. The record is from RNAcentral. Lineage: Bacteria; Pseudomonadati; Gemmatimonadota.
UAGGGAAUCUUCGGCAAUGUACGCAAGUCUGACCGAGCAACGCCGCGUGAGUGAAGAAGGUUUUCGGAUCGUAAAACUCUGUUUUUCGAGAAGAACAAGGACGUUAGUAACUGAACGUCCCCUGACGGUAUCUAACCAGAAAGCCACGGCUAACUACGUGCCAGCAUCCGCGGUAAUACGUAGGUGGCAAGCGUUGUCCGGAUUUAUUGGGCGUAAAGCGAGCGCAGGCGGUUUCUUAAGUCUGAUGUGAAAGCCCCCGGAUCAACGGGGGAGGGUCAUUGGAAACUGUGAGACUUGAGUGCAGAAGAGUAGAGUGGAAUUCCAUGUGUAGCGGUAAAAUGCGUAGAUAUAUGGAGGAACACCAGUGGCGAAGGCGGCUAUCUGGUCUGUAACUGACGCUGAGGCUCGAAAGCGUGGGGAGCAAACAGG